Molecule: ribosomal RNA, 468 nt
Filed under: uncultured bacterium
Lineage: Bacteria
Description: partial 16S ribosomal RNA
Rfam family: Bacterial small subunit ribosomal RNA
Source: RNAcentral
GACGAACGCUGGCGGCGUGCUUAACACAUGCAAGUCGAACGGAAAGGCCCUGCUUUUGUGGGGUGCUCGAGUGGCGAACGGGUGAGUAACACGUGAGUAACUUGCCCUUGACUUUGGGAUAACUUCAGGAAACUGGGGCUACUACCGGAUAGGAGCUCCUGUUGCAUGGUGGGGGUUGGAAAGUUUCGGCGGUUGGGGAUGGACUGGCGGCUUAUCAGCUUGUUGGUGGGGUAGUGGCUGACCAAGGCUUUGACGGGUAGCCGGCCUGAGAGGGUGACCGGCGACAUUGGGACUGAGAGACGGCCCAGACGCCUACGGGAGGCAGCAGGGGGGAAUAUUGCACAAUGGGCGGAAGCCUGAUGCAGCAACGCCGCGUGCGGGAUGACGGCCUUCGGGGUGUAAACCGCUUUCGCCUGUUACGAAGCGGGAGUGACGGUAAUGAGUAAAGAAGCACCGGCUAACUACGUG